Molecule: long non-coding RNA, 421 nt
Filed under: Sitophilus oryzae (rice weevil)
Lineage: Eukaryota; Metazoa; Arthropoda; Insecta; Coleoptera; Curculionidae
Description: uncharacterized LOC115885600
Source: RNAcentral
UCUCAUGUCAAAGCGAUAGAGCUCUUUCAAAAUAUAAAAUUUACCCUGGAUGGAUAGCCAACACUGAGGGGGAGGGACAUACUUCUUGACGUCUAAUCGGAAUGAUGGGAUGGGCCGUAGUCCAGCAUAUUCAGCCUAGUGUCAGUGAUAGUGAGAACUAUGAUCGUGUACGCAGCGCGUGUUAUUUGUGAAUUUAGUCGGUCUGUGUUUUUAGAUGUCCUGCUGCUAAAAAGUAAUUCCAGGUUCUGUCGAUUCUGAUGACGCGUUAAAUGGGAUUCCCCAGGGACCGUCCGUAGUUCCCGAGGGACCAGGGGCGUCCUUCUGCUCCCGCGGUGUGACGACACUGCUUUUUACGCCGUGUGGCAGGAAUCGCCAGUGAAAGAAUGUGGAAUGGAGUAUGCAGAUGAAGAGGAAAUGUAGA